RNAcentral lists this ribosomal RNA (113 nucleotides) under uncultured eukaryote. Its description in RNAcentral is "partial small subunit ribosomal RNA". It matches the Rfam family "Eukaryotic small subunit ribosomal RNA", at positions 1676 to 1785 of the family's 1831-position model. The record is from RNAcentral.
UCGCUACUACCGAUUGAAUGAUUUAGUGAGUUUCAGGGACCGCAGACUUACGGGGGUUUUCUCCUGUUUGUUUGUCGGGAACUGACACAAACUUGACCAUUUAGAGGAAGUAA